Myotis brandtii (Brandt's bat) is the source of this 451-nucleotide long non-coding RNA. RefSeq lists it as uncharacterized. The transcript has 4 exons. NCBI's taxonomy places the organism in Eukaryota, Metazoa, Chordata, Mammalia, Chiroptera, Vespertilionidae. The record is from RefSeq and is a predicted model, not a curated record.
UCUGCAUGUGGCCUGUGGCAAGGGCCGUCCGAGAGUGGUGAGACUGCUAACACAUAGACAUUGCCUAUUGAACCUCUGUGACAUUGACAACAAAACAGCUCUCAUUCACGCCAUACAAUAUGAGCAAGAGGAAUGUGCAACCAUUCUUCUAGACCGUGGCGCCAAUCCAAAUGUAAUGGACAUCCAUGGCAACACUCCUCUUAACUAUGCUGUCCUUGGUCAUAAUACAGCUAUAGUGGAAAAGCUACUUUCCUGUAUGGCAAAUAUGGAAGCAAGAAAUAAAGAUGACUUCACACCACUUUCACUUGCUAAAUAUGACAACAAAGAGAAAAUGGUGGAAUUUUUAGUAACUAGAGCUUCAAAAGUCGAUCACAUGGAAAACAAGCAACAACUAACUUUGGAAUAUAAAGAAGAAAGACUAUAAGAUCUUCUGAAGGUAGCAAUCUUGGUA